AUUGGUGAGGAUGAUGAAAAAUUGGAAGACUCGUACACUGUUGGUGGGAAUGUAAAAUCAUUCAGCUGCUAUGGAAAACAGUAUGGAGGGUCCUCAAAAAAUUAAAAAUAAAACUACCAUAUGAUCCAGCAAUUCCACUUUUGGUAUAUAUCCAAAAGAAUUGAAAUCAGUAUCUCAAAAAGAUAUUUGCACUCCCAUGUUCAUUGCAGCAUUAUUUACAAUAGCCAAAUGUCCAUCAGCAGAUGAAUGGAUAAAGAAAAUGUGGCAUAUAUGUAUAAUGGAAUAUUAUUCAGCCUUAAAAAAGAAGGAAAUCCUAUUAUUUGUGACAACAUGGAUGAACUUGGAGGGCAUUAUAAGUGAAAUAAGCCAGUCUCAGAAGGACAAAUACUCUAUGAUUCCCUUUUUAUGAGGUAUCUAAACUAGUCAAAUGAUUGGAAGCAGAGAAUAGAAUGGCGGUUGCCAGGGGCUCAAUGGGUGUAAAGUUUCAAUUAUGCGAGAUGAAUAAAUUCUAGAGAUCUUUUGUACAACAAAGUGCAUGUAGUUAAUAGCACAGUAUUGUGCAUUUAAAAAUAUAGAGGGUAGAUCUCAUGUUAAGUAUUCUUACCAAACACACAAAAAUGGGACACCAACUUUUAGAGGUGAUGGAUAUGUUUAUUACCUUAAUUGUGGUGAUAAUGUCUUGGUUGUGUGCAUAUGUCCAAACUCAUCAAAUUGUAUGCACUAAAUAUAUAAAUAAUUAUAUCUCAAUAAAAAAAUUAUUUUUUCUGCUGUCUGGAGUCUCAGCCCCAGAAAUUCUGAUUUAGUUGGUCUGGAGUGAGGCACGGUCAUUAGAAGUUUGAAAAACUCUCUAGAUGAUUCCAGUAUGCAGCCAGGAUAAAGAAAUACUUCUCUAGACCAACAUCCUCACUGCACAGAUGGGAAAGAGAGGCCCUGAGGAAGGAAGUGACUUGUCUGGUAAAAUUAGAUUAAGAACUCAAACCAAGGUCUCCUGACUCCGACCUGGGUUCUCUCCAGCACAUAACGCAGCCUCAGACUCACUUCCUGUGCUUCCACACAAACACUACCCCAAAUUGUCUCAUGUCAUAUUCCCUGAACACACCAGGUCCACCCCUGUGUCAAAUCCACAGCAAUACAAGCUGUCAUUGGAAUGCUUAUUAUGUGCCAAACACCGAGCAAGCCAAAUUAUAUGUGUUAUCUCUAAUACAUACAGCAAGCCUUCAAAGAAGGCAUGAGUGUCCUCAUUGGAAGAGGAGGAGGCUGAUGUUCAGAGACUUGAAGAAAUUAGCUGAAGUUGUGACUAGUAAAGAGAAGCCAGGAUUUGAUAACAGGUUUACCGGACUCCAAGGAAUCUCACUAUACUUACUGCCACCUGUUCCCACCCCGCCUUACCUUCCUGGGUUAUUUCUCCAUCAAGAACCAGCUCUAGUUUCACUCCCUCUGCAAAAGCUCUUCCUCCCCAGACCACAGAGUUAUUUUUAUUGUUUUAACUUUCAUGACGCUAAUCACCCACAUUAGCUAUUUGGCAGGUUCUCCCUCACAUGGUAAUUUAUUGUGUCAUGUAUAUGGCCUGUUUCCUUCUCCAUGAGGCUGAGACAGAGAGGGACCUUCUCUAACUGUGUUUCUGUGUUGGUCCUGUAGCUGUGUCAAGAUACAGUGAUUGCGGGGCACCUGGCUGGCUCAGUUGGUAGAGCAUGCGACUCUUCAUCUUGGGGUUGUGAGUUUGAGCCCCACAUUGGGUGAAGAGAUUACUUACAAUCUUAAAAAAAAAAGACACAGUGAUUGCAAGAUCAUAAUAUUUAGUCUUUUGUGAGACUCCUCCACUGGGAGUAUCUGCAGAAGGAGAAUACCUAUAGGCCCAAGUGGAGUUGAAAAUUUGAACUAAGAAUGAAGCUUUCCUCAGGUUUGGAUUUGUAGAAACAUUUACAAGUAAGUCUCUAGGUGUCAGUAGAAAGCCUAAUUUUAAGAGUGUGACACAGAGUGGAAUGAAAUCAAAAUCUCAGGCUAGAAGUUUUUCUCUGUAACCAUCAAGCUAAAGCUAGAAUUCUCUCUCCAACAUAACAAAACUGUAGCAACAUUCCUCCCAGCCCAGGGGUUGGUAAUGAGGCAGCCUUUUCCAUGUUUGGACAGCUUUAUUGGAAUGCUGUUCUUGGUUUUAUAUGAAACUGUCUCCUGGUAGCUUCUACCUGCUGUCCAAGGAAAUUAAGUGGCAACAGCCCAUGCAUUGCACCUGGGCCUGAGCAUGUGGAAGGCCUGUUAUAGUCGAACAGGUCUUCCACAAAGGUCCAUCCUCAGAGCAUCAGGGACUGAGGCAAGUGAGCAAUGCACCUCUGGCAGGGUGCUGUCCUCUCAGACCCAGAGAUGGAGAAGGUGACUCCAGCAGAGUCCAAAGACCUGGGGAGUCAGAAAAGCCCCCCCUUUCACUCUGUUCUUCCCAAGGUCUUCAAUAGCCUGGCCUUUGCUUAGUCAAACCCAUUCUCUCUCCUCAAAAAAUAGAGGUUACCACUAUACCUUCUGGCCCCAGCUGUAUUCUUUAGAAAUAUAUAGAACAAACCCAGUGUCUCUUCCUCCAGGGAUCUGAAGACAGAGACUAAGCCAUCCAUCCAUCAUCCAACCAUCCAUCCAUCCACCCAUUUAUUAAGCAUAUCUUUACUGGAAGCCUACUGUUACCAGUUCUUCCUGUCCUGAUCCAUGCCCCGGCUGGCUGACUGAAGCCCUCAUUUGAAGCUUUGGAAAGCCCAUUUUGGCUUCCUGACUUAGAGAGGACAAGUCCAGAGAAAGACGGUUUUAAGAAGAAAAGAAAUCCAAAUGGAAUCCAACUCGGCCUUACUUAUGUAAGAGCACCUGUCAUGUGUACAAUAGUCCCAGGCAGAACUCCUAAGAAAGAUCACUUUGUAAACCAUCCUGCUGCUGUGGGGAGGUCAACAAUUGUCCUUUGUCGGUGCAGCCCUCCCCUCACCCCACUAUGGAAUUGCUGGUCCAAACCGUUGUAGUAAGGUUUGGGCAAGAAGAAAUUAUUCCAUUGUCUUUUAGAAAUUAGAUCAGUAAGGGUGAUGUCAUUCAUGAUUUCCUAGGGUUCUGGCUGUUCCUGGUGUAGGAAACCAUGUGCAGCCCCAUUGCUGCAUAUGUUUCUCUAGAUCCACAGUCAACAUGGACACAUAGAAAAUGACCUGUGUCAAAUGAGAAUCUACUUCAGUUCCAAAAAUCUUAACUUUUUCUUUUUAGGUGAAGUCAAAUCAACACUUAGUAUACUGAUUUCUAAAAUAGUGCAUGUAAAAACAAAUAAGUAAAUGUUCUGGUCUCUCUUGAGCUUAGGGAGAGUUUUAAGAUCCAGGUUAUUUACUCAAUAAAAUAUGGAUUUGUAUUUGACCUCCAAAGCACUUUUUGUCUUUAAUUUCUUUUUUAGCCCAGGAUCAAAGUCUGCUGCCCAUCCACAGACAGGCUGACCGCAGCAAGUAGCCAGUUUGCACAUGAGUUUUAAUAUCAACAUCGCCUUGAUUUUUCUUUGACAAGUACCUUUAAUUAUUUCAACAAAUAUUUAAUGUGCCAGGUAGUGUCCUGGGUGCUAAGGAUAAAGCAGAACAAAACAACAAAAAUCCUUGCCCUUGUGGGUUUACAUGCUAAUGGGGAAGCUUCAUUCGUUCAUUUGCUCAUUUAUUCAACAAGUGUUUAUUGGUUUUCUAAUAUGACUCAAGUCUUAAGCCACACACUGUGCUUAAACAGCAUUCCAUCUCUGCCCUCAGGGCACAGUGGGAGAAAUAAGACAUGUCCCCAUGCUUUCCCUGCUGCUCCCCGUAUACAAAGAAUACAGAAGAGGGGCACCUCUUUCAGCUUGAGUGGUUCAAAGAUGAUUUCUCAGAGAACAUGACAAGUAAGAGAGGCUGGAAGAAUGACUGAUGAGGGAAAAGGACAGUCCAUGAAGUGAUGAGACAGCGUGAUGCAAGGCCCAGUACAGAUGAAUGCUACUGAAUGAAUGGCUGAAACGCCCAAGAGAACAUCAACUCUGAGAGGCAUGUUCUGGGAACUACAAGUCCUUUCCUGUGACUGGAGUUGAAAGUGUGUGGGGAUGAGGGGCAGGAGAUGGGGCUUGGGGAAGGAGGCAGGGUAUGGAUGUGAGGUAGGCUGGCUAAGGAGCUUUGUCCUGAUGACAAUUAGAAGAUUCGUGGAUCGGGUGCCUGGGUGGCUCAGUUGGUUAAGCGACUGCCUUCAGCUCAGGUCAUGAUCUGGGAAUCCUGGGAUCAAGUCCCACAUCAGGCUCCCGGCUCAGCAGGGAGC
This is a long non-coding RNA of Mirounga angustirostris (Northern elephant seal), 4272 nucleotides long. RefSeq lists it as uncharacterized. NCBI's taxonomy places the organism in Eukaryota, Metazoa, Chordata, Mammalia, Carnivora, Phocidae. The record is from RefSeq and is a predicted model, not a curated record. The transcript is spliced from 3 exons.